RNAcentral lists this ribosomal RNA (468 nucleotides) under uncultured bacterium. RNAcentral describes it as "partial 16S ribosomal RNA". It matches the Rfam family "Bacterial small subunit ribosomal RNA", at positions 28 to 507 of the family's 1533-position model. The record is from RNAcentral.
GACGAACGCUGGCGGCGUGCUUAACACAUGCAAGUCGAACGGAAAGGCCCUGCUUUUGUGGGGUGCUCGAGUGGCGAACGGGUGAGUAACACGUGAGUAACCUGCCCUUGACUUUGGGAUAACUUCAGGAAACUGGGGCUAAUACCGGAUAGGAGCUCCCGCUGCAUGGUGGGGGUUGGAAAGUUUCGGCGGUUGGGGAUGGACUCGCGGCUUAUCAGCUUGUUGGUGGGGUAGUGGCUUACCAAGGCUUUGACGGGUAGCCGGCCUGAGAGGGUGACCGGCCACAUUGGGACUGAGAUACGGCCCAGACUCCUACGGGAGGCAGCAGUGGGGAAUAUUGCACAAUGGGCGGAAGCCUGAUGCGGCAACGCCGCGUGCGGGAUGACGGCCUUCGGGUUGUAACCCGCUUUCGCCUGUGACGAAGCGUGAGUGACGGUAAUGGGUAAAGAAGCACCGGCUAACUACGUG